RNAcentral lists this long non-coding RNA (215 nucleotides) under Ananas comosus (pineapple). RNAcentral describes it as "long non-coding RNA (ACOM_LNC035047)". Lineage: Eukaryota; Viridiplantae; Streptophyta; Magnoliopsida; Poales; Bromeliaceae. The record is from RNAcentral.
UUCAGAUUUAAUUGGUUUGGUUCAAGUGCUAAUUUAGAGAAUUGGUUUGGCUCAAGAUUUUUAGUCUAUCUAAUAACCUAUAAUCUAAGAAUGAAGGGUUUCUUGCCACGUGGCAAGAAACAUUGUGAAUUCAUUAGUUUUUAUAGAUAAUUAUAGAUAACAGAAGGUAUAAUCUUAGUUUCUAAUAAAGUUUUAACACUUAGGACGUCAAUAAU